GGAAACUAAAGGGUACGUCCAAGGUUAGCUGGCCAUUGCAAUAUAAUAACUUCUGAGACCAUCUAAUCGUGACAGAGAUGUUGGUUCCACCAUCCACCUGUGGUAUUGAAAGGGUAAAAAUGUGGGGCUUCAGAAAGCAUCCAUCUUCAAUUUUGGCUACCUUUUCUGUUUUGCUUUCAUCAUCCAAGGUAACUAUUUUAGUGCU
This 205-nucleotide unclassified non-coding RNA is filed under the name Hevea brasiliensis (rubber tree). The record is from RNAcentral. Lineage: Eukaryota; Viridiplantae; Streptophyta; Magnoliopsida; Malpighiales; Euphorbiaceae.